CUACGGGGGGCUGCAGUCGAGGAAAUUUUACAAUGCUCGAAAGAGUGAUAAAAUGAGUCAGAGUGUUUCUCUUAGAGAAACUUUUUUCUGCUGUAAAAAGGCAGAAGAAUAAGGACUGGGUAAGAUCGGUGCCAGCCGCCGCGGUAAUACCGACGGUCCAAGUCGCAUCCACAUUUAUUGGGUCUAAAACAUCCGUAGCUUGUUUUAUAAGUUUCUUGUGAAAUCUUACAUCUCAAAUGUAAGGCGUGCAAGAAAUACUAUACCACUAGAGACCGGAAGGCGCAAAGAGUAUGGUUAAGGUAGCGGUAAAAUGUGUUAAUCUUAAUUAGACUAACAAUAGCGAAGGCGCUUUGCGAGUACGGAUCUGACAGUGAGGGAUGAAGGCUAGGGGCGCAAAAGGGAUUAGAUACCCUCGUAGUC
This 420-nucleotide ribosomal RNA is filed under the name uncultured archaeon. RNAcentral describes it as "partial 16S ribosomal RNA". It matches the Rfam family "Archaeal small subunit ribosomal RNA", at positions 323 to 746 of the family's 1478-position model. The record is from RNAcentral.